RNAcentral lists this long non-coding RNA (589 nucleotides) under Ananas comosus (pineapple). RNAcentral's name for it is "long non-coding RNA (ACOM_LNC015429)". The record is from RNAcentral. Lineage: Eukaryota; Viridiplantae; Streptophyta; Magnoliopsida; Poales; Bromeliaceae.
GUUGAAAAUAUAUUUGGCUUAUUAAAUAAAAUAGAGUUGGGGUAAAAACACCUAUUGGGAUAUACUUUUGCUUCUCAAGUAGGAUCGUAACGGAAUAUUACGUGCGGACAGGAUAGUUUUCAUUGUACUUUUUUACCGCACAGAACGUAAUCUUUCCGCAAUCCUGAAUGAAGUCUGAAUAGUCUUUUUUUUUGUCGUGUGUUUAGAUCUUUUACUGCUUUCAUAAAAGUGUCGUGAAUCAUUCACCGUUUUUUUGAAGAUUGUUUGUUAUAAUUUUUUAAAUUUUUUAAAAUCGUAUCGGAUUUGUUGAUGUGUUUAUAUGACUGUUAGAAUUAUAUAUAGAAAAUAAAAAAAAAAAGAUUGUUAGGAUUAUAUGUAGAUUGUUAAAAUUUUUUUUUAAUUGUUAGGAUUUUAUGGAUUGAUUAUUAUGAUUUUUUUUUUAUUAUUAAGAUUGUAUGUGAUUUGUUGAAAUUUUUAUGUACUUAUUAGGAUUACUGAUGAAUAAUUUACUGUCAUGGUAGAAAAUUAUAAAGACGGUAAAUAAUAUACCAUUUUUAAGAGAAAAUUUUAUCGUGGCCGCUAGGUGGCA